UGUUUGAUUGAUUGAUAUCAAAAUUUUAUUCUCUAUGGAGAAAUUAUCAGAUUCAGUAUUUAACACCGAAUUCUCUAUGUUACAGAAUCUAUACCUCAUUUGGUUUUUGAGGUUUCUGGAGGGACUAUUUUUUUGAUGUAUUUGCGUAGGAAUACAAUCAAGUACGAUGAUUUUCCGGAAGUAGAGGUUUCAGAGGAGUAUUUUGGAGUAGGUGGUGCAGGUAAAUCCAUUGUUUACAAUUAAGCUCGAGUUACAGGGAAGGAGAACUACAAAUAAAAUUUUAUCGCACCACAACAAGCUCAUCUCUUUAGCAGAGCGCUCAAAAUCUGUUCGAUAAAAUGCUCCAAAGAGGAAAAAAAUGGUUAGAGGUGUCGUUUUGUGCCCGCAAUGCCAAGGUAGUUUCCUUGAAAAGGCUUAGUGUAAGGUCUGGAACACAUGCAUCGCGCAGUUGAAGUUAUGUCAGAUGCCCAAAGCCAACAGUUGAUGCUAUAGGAGGACUUGCGCUUGGAGGUGGUUUAUAAUUGGAAAUGGUUCUUAUGAAAAGGUAUAUCAUGCAUAUUGGAAUGACUAGAUAACAUUGGUUGGCAGUUGCUUUAUGGCCAUCUUGUUCUCAGUAAAGGACCAUCAUUCAGUUUGGAUGAUGAUCUAGCUAAAGAAGCGAGUAAAGCAGAUCGUAACAAAAGAAAUAUGAGAGAGUUUGGAAUAUAAUACUUUUGAGUUUCCAUUCAGCUCUGAGAAGAUGGUAACUACAUUGCGCGCUGGGGCAGAGUAUGCUGGAGUUUCUGUACAGAACUGCAUGCUUAUUGUUGGAGGCCAAUCUGGUGUAUCCGAAUGUUAAUUCAUAGUCAUGCCACGUAUCGUUCUGCGAAGCAGGAAAAUUUGAGCUUCAUAUCAUGGAGGGAGAGUUUGCUGAACCUCAGAUUGUAGUUAUGCUUGGUGAAAACGGGACAGGGAAGACGACAUUUGUUUGCUUGCUGGUUUCAGAUAACUUCAUAAAAGCUAAUUGCUUAAAUGUGAUAAUGGU
This is a long non-coding RNA of Papaver somniferum (opium poppy), 1024 nucleotides long. RefSeq lists it as uncharacterized. The transcript has 9 exons. NCBI's taxonomy places the organism in Eukaryota, Viridiplantae, Streptophyta, Magnoliopsida, Ranunculales, Papaveraceae. The record is from RefSeq and is a predicted model, not a curated record.